RNAcentral lists this ribosomal RNA (301 nucleotides) under uncultured bacterium. RNAcentral describes it as "partial 16S ribosomal RNA". It matches the Rfam family "Bacterial small subunit ribosomal RNA", at positions 509 to 807 of the family's 1533-position model. The record is from RNAcentral.
CAGCAGCCACGGUAAUACAGAGGAUGCAAGCGUUAUCCGGAAUGAUUGGGCGUAAAGCGUCUGUAGGUGGCUUUUCAAGUCCGCCGUCAAAUCCCAGGGCUCAACCCUGGACAGGCGGUGGAAACUACCAAGCUGGAGUACGGUAGGGGCAGAGGGAAUUUCCAGUGGAGCGGUGAAAUGCGUUGAGAUCGGAAAGAACACCAACAGCGAAAGCACUCUGCUGGGCCGACACUGACACUGAGAGACGAAAGCUAGGGGAGCAAAUGGGAUUAGAUACCCGUGUAGUCCCUGUCUCUUAUAC